AUUUGAGUCAUUUUGCAAAUUUUGUAACACAAUUCACAUAAGCAGGAGCCACUUUAGCCUAAUUCAAUCACAUUCAUUCUGAUUUCAGUGAAUCCACUUUUAAACCAUUUCAAACAAUUCAAAAAUGGAUUAUUAUUAUUUGUAUGGGUAAAUCAUUUCAUAACACCUUUUGGACUCCACUUUUAAAACCCUAGCCUCAUGCCUUUGAUAAUUAUGCCAAAAAUUUACAUGUGAAAUUGUCUUUUCAUUCAACCAUCCUUACUAAGAACACCAAAAUCAUUGUUUAGUCAAUAACUGACACGAAGCUAGCUAAGUAUAGAUUUAACUUUCUAGGCCAAGCAAAAUUCAAAAUGCUUAUGAUUUCAUAUGCUCUCACAAGACCAUUUCAUUGUGAAAUUAGCUGAAAGCUGAGCCAUUCAAAAUCAAAAUCUUGGCGCUGCACAAACUCUAUGUUCAUGUGUGUGUGUGUGUGUGUGUG
This 478-nucleotide unclassified non-coding RNA is filed under the name Hevea brasiliensis (rubber tree). The record is from RNAcentral. Lineage: Eukaryota; Viridiplantae; Streptophyta; Magnoliopsida; Malpighiales; Euphorbiaceae.